CGUUACCAACAACAUAUGGAAAAGUGCAUACCUUUCUGAGCAGGCAGAUUUACAAGGGUAGUGAAAUAUGCCAAAGUACCUGAGCUGGAUCACCCUCCCUUUCCUUUCUCCGCCUUUCCAUCUCUUUCUCCAGCAGCAACACAAGAGCCCUAUGCUGUAGCCACAGACCACCUGCUGACGGGACAUCUCGGAUGCUCUCCAACAGUUUACUUUUACAGUCUGUGCAGUAAAAGCUGACAUCAGCAUUGCUUAGUAAGGCUAGCUGUACAGUUCAUCUCCAGAUCCCAGGUUCCUCCAUUAAAACCUACCCCCUGCCCCAGGGAACAGCCUGGCAAGCUCUUCUGACCCAACAGCACUGGCAG
Molecule: long non-coding RNA, 362 nt
Filed under: Coturnix japonica (Japanese quail)
Lineage: Eukaryota; Metazoa; Chordata; Aves; Galliformes; Phasianidae
Description: lncRNA (ENSCJPG00005013073.1)
Source: RNAcentral